UGCAUCCACUUCUUUUCCAACUCUAGAGAGUUCUCCAAGAAGGAAGAACUCUUAUUUUCAACAAAUGAAGAUAGAGGAAGUAACGAGAAAUAAAUUGAGGGAGAGAUUAAAGGGUCAAGGUUGGUGAUUAUUCAAGUUUAUGGCAGCAAGGAUGGGUCCAUUAAAGAAGCAAAAACGUUUUUGACCAAGCCCUAAAAUUUUCAAGCAAAUUGUGUCAUAAAUCUAAGGUAUGAGGCAGCAUAUACAUGUUGUGUGUGGAUAAACACUAAAGGUAUUGAAGUUCGAUUUGCUGAUCCACCUAUUUAGGAUAUUUGCUGCGUCGUUGACAGUGCUCCCUUGUUCGAAGCUUGUAUUUUGGUACUGACUUUAUCUCUGUAUAUUUGGAUAUUUUGGUCAGAGGUACGACGGGGCCCUGUCCCGUCAUAUGACUAUGCUAUCAUCUGUAGAGGUCUGUAGACAAAGUUAUGUUGUGGAUUUUGUAUAUAUGUUUUGGGUUGUGUGUGUUUCGUGACGGCCUAUCAGCC
This is a long non-coding RNA of Solanum dulcamara, 524 nucleotides long. RefSeq lists it as uncharacterized. NCBI's taxonomy places the organism in Eukaryota, Viridiplantae, Streptophyta, Magnoliopsida, Solanales, Solanaceae. The transcript is spliced from 3 exons. The record is from RefSeq and is a predicted model, not a curated record.